Long non-coding RNA from Dromaius novaehollandiae (emu), 332 nucleotides. RefSeq lists it as uncharacterized. The record is from RefSeq and is a predicted model, not a curated record. NCBI's taxonomy places the organism in Eukaryota, Metazoa, Chordata, Aves, Casuariiformes, Dromaiidae. The transcript has 2 exons.
CCCCUUUCAUUCAAUACUCGGUGCUAGCGACGCUCCCUCUCCACGACAUGCUGUUUGCAAAUACUUUUCUCUAAGUGCAGAAAGGCUGGAGAAAGGAUAUGAUCAUACGGAUGGAUAUGGGAUUUCACUCCCUGCUUCUGAGGAAAAGAACCAGAGGUGUGACUGUAACUGAGGUAACAGCAAACGGCAGCUGAAGAUCCAGCCUUCGGUGGAGGGAAUUUCAUCUCUGAGAAACUACAUGAAGAGAGCAGGUAUCCCAGUAGGUGCAGGAGAUUGUUGUUCCCAUUUCACAGCCAUGGAAAUGCAAAUUAAAGUUAAGGUGUGUGCUUGAA